GACGAACGCUGGCGGCGUGCUUAACACAUGCAAGUCGAGCGGUAAGGCCCUUUCGGGGGUACACGAGCGGCGAACGGGUGAGUAACACGUGGGUGACCUGCCCUCAGCUCUGGGAUAAGCCUGGGAAACUGGGUCUAAUACUGGAUAUGACUCCACGGUGCAUGUCGUGGGGUGGAAAGCCUUGUGCGGCUGAGGAUGGGCCCGCGGCCUAUCAGCUUGUUGGUGGGGUGANGGCCUACCAAGGCGACGAUCGGUAGCUGGUCUGAGAGGACGACCAGCCACACUGGGACUGAGACACGGCCCAGACUCCUACGGGAGGCAGCAGUGGGGAAUAUUGGACAAUGGGCGCAAGCCUGAUCCAGCGAUGCCGCGUGUGUGAAGAAGGCCUGC
Molecule: ribosomal RNA, 390 nt
Filed under: uncultured bacterium
Lineage: Bacteria
Description: bacterial SSU rRNA
Rfam family: Bacterial small subunit ribosomal RNA
Source: RNAcentral